This 193-nucleotide unclassified non-coding RNA is filed under the name uncultured Russula. RNAcentral's name for it is "sequence contains ITS1". Lineage: Eukaryota; Fungi; Basidiomycota; Agaricomycetes; Russulales; Russulaceae. The record is from RNAcentral.
UCGUAUAAAAUGGAGGUGCUGGGGGCUGUCGCUGACCUUUGACAAAGGUCGUGCACGCCCGGAGCACUCUCUCAUAUCCAUCUCACCCCUUUGUGCAUUGCCGCGUGGGUCCCCUUUGCAGGAGGGCUCACGUUUUCACACAAAAUUUGAUACAGUGUAGAAUGUUAUCUUUUGCGAUCACACGCAAUCAAUA